RNAcentral lists this RNase P RNA (428 nucleotides) under Alteraurantiacibacter aestuarii. RNAcentral's name for it is "Altererythrobacter aestuarii Bacterial RNase P class A". It matches the Rfam family "Bacterial RNase P class A". From Rfam's summary of the family: Ribonuclease P (RNase P) is a ubiquitous endoribonuclease, found in archaea, bacteria and eukarya as well as chloroplasts and mitochondria. The record is from Rfam by way of RNAcentral. Lineage: Bacteria; Pseudomonadati; Pseudomonadota; Alphaproteobacteria; Sphingomonadales; Erythrobacteraceae.
CCAGGGGGCCGGGCAGCCGCGUUGGGGGAAACUCCGCCGAGGAAAGUCCGGGCUCCACGAAACAAGGGUGGCGGGUAACGCCCGCCCGGCGAGGGGGCUUGCUCCCGAAGCCGAGGGAAAGUGCCACAGAGAGUAUACCGCCGAUGGCGCCUACAGCGCACAGGCAAGGGUGAAAGGGUGCGGUAAAAGCGCACCGGGGGCCUGGUAACAGGUUCCGCAUGGCAAACCCCACCCGGAGCAAGACCAAAUAGGGGUCUCGCGCGAGAAGGCCGCAAGGCACGAAGGCAGGAGCGUUUCGCUCCGAGAGAUCCGGGUUGGUCGCUUGAGCUGCGGAGCGAUCCGCAGCCUAGAUGAAUGGCUGCCCCUGCAGCGCUGGUCGCAAGAUACCGGUUGCAGGACAGAACCCGGCUUACAGGCCCCCUGGCACU